RNAcentral lists this ribosomal RNA (253 nucleotides) under uncultured bacterium. Its description in RNAcentral is "partial 16S ribosomal RNA". It matches the Rfam family "Bacterial small subunit ribosomal RNA", at positions 524 to 776 of the family's 1533-position model. The record is from RNAcentral.
UACGUAGGGUGCAAGCGUUAAUCGGAAUUCCUGGGCGUAAAGCGUGCGCAGGCGGUUUUGCAAGACAGAUGUGAAAUCCCCGGGCUUAACCUGGGAACUGCAUUUGUGACUGCAAGGCUAGAGUGUGUCAGAGGGAGGUGGAAUUCCGCGUGUAGCAGUGAAAUGCGUAGAGAUGCGGAGGAACACCGAUGGCGAAGGCGGUCUGCUGGGCAGUUUCUGACACUGAUGCGCGACAGCGUGGGGAGCAAACAGG